This 855-nucleotide long non-coding RNA is filed under the name Salvia miltiorrhiza (redroot sage). RNAcentral describes it as "long non-coding RNA (SMIL_LNC002302)". The record is from RNAcentral. Lineage: Eukaryota; Viridiplantae; Streptophyta; Magnoliopsida; Lamiales; Lamiaceae.
AGGAGCCCAAGGGAAGCCCAAAAAUGAAAGCCCAAAGUUUCACAAAAUAUUAAGCCUCAACAAUAUAAAUCGGCCCACCUAAACUCAAGAAAUCGGCCCAAUGAAUUAGCAUUUGGCCCAACUGAAUUAGGCCCAGAAAUUAAAGCCCAAAACUAAUAAAAUCCUAGCCCCAACUGAAAAUAAUCGGCCCACCUAACUCUCAAAAAUCGGCCCAAUCAAACACUCAAAAAUCGGCCCACUCAAUCACUAUCUCUCUCUCGGUCUUCCCUCACGCUCAACCGCUCUCUCUCUCUUCCUUUCUCUCAAAACAAAACACAUGCACACCUUUUUUUUUAACAAAAGACACGCACACACAUUCUUUAUAUCUAUCAUCAAAUCUCUCUCUCUAUCUUUUAUCUUUAUUAAAGCCAACAUUUCCUCUUUCUCUCCCACUAUCGGUUCCCUCUCCCUCCUUAUAUUCAAUCACCACAUGCACACACACCUUUUAAAAUAUAUCUCUCUCUCUUUCGAUCAACUCACGGCUGGAGUUGCCGCCGCGUUCUGAAAAUCCGGCGAGGUUCGCCGCGUGGAGCUGCUGCCGCUGACUGCUGCUGUUCUGCUCUGGGCCGCGACCAGCGGCGCUUGGCCUUCGGCCGCGCCGCCCCGCUCCGCCUGAAGUCGCCGAGUCAGCCGCCUUCGACUGCUGCUGUCGCCGAGGAGUCCGCCGACUGCUGCUGUUCGUUGAGGAGUCCGCCGGCUGCUGUUGCAGAGUUCCGACAGCCACCACCGUCGUCGGCUGCCGCUGCCUCGCCCAAGCCGACUUCUGCUGCCAAGCAUCGAACGCUGCUGCUGUAGGGAGGCCGGCGAACAGCCGGG